GGGAUACAGAAAUAACAGAACGACCCACCAAGUCAAAUGAUACAACAAAGAUUUUCUGUAAGAUCACAAUGUUGCCUAUGACCAGUUUGUGCAGGCAUCAUUACCUUACAAAAACUUUGCCUUUCAGACUCUCCACAUUCUGAAUAUACAUCAUUGCCUAAUAAGAAUCAAGGAGAGCUUGGUUUGUGCUGACGCAAGAAAAUUAACCAAGUUGAUUCAUUUCGUCCCAGGUUUCAUACUGAAAACUCGAAAAUUCGUUUUACACUUGCGAAGAGAAUUGGAUUACAUAAUUUUGUCUUCGGGAUGAGGUUGCCUGUCCUUGCGGACUUGUUCGGCCUCUCAAAUCCCAGCACUCUUAUAUUAGCAAUAUCUCAGAUGACGACUUUUUCUCAACUCUAUGCUUCGUAGACUUCAAUUAAUUUGUGGAAGAGAAAGAAAAGAUAGAAUAAAAAGGUUAAAGAUUUAACUUUGAACUAUGUGAGAAUGACAUCAAAAUUACUAAGAUUCCACUCUGCAACUUCUUCUUUAUCGCUGACGAAAAUUUCAGUACCCGUAUCAAUGGAUGUCCAAAUUCUUCUAGCAGGAGGGGUACCUGGAUCCUGAUAGAAGUACAGUCUACUAGACAGUGCACCCGCAUCAAGCUCCCAAGUUCUGGCAUCCCCAACCCAACCAUCCCCUUGUUUUGUUGGAUAGCCAUAUUGAGCCCAUAUGGGAUGAGGCAGCAACUGAACUAGCUCUUGUGCCUGAGGAUUGCUAUAAGGAUCACAAGUGCUUACUGGUUUCUCCAAAAAUUGGGCAUUCCCUGGAGCACAGUAGUAGUGAUAAGCCCCAUAGGGGAAGUUGGCUGUAUCAUUCCUGUGAAUUUUUGUGUUAUUUGGGGUAAUGUGAUAUGGUGGGCAGUUCUCUAGACUACUGGGACCACACCAAGCAGGAGUUGCAGGAUUGAUGAUCAUCUCACUGUAUCUGGUUACAUCAGUGAGUACAUCUCCAUCACAAGGAUCACCAUUGUUUUUCCAGCAGCUACCAAUAUCUAUUAAAUAGAACUGGCUCUUGGAUCCUCCCCCUUGCUUGACAUCCAAUGUCACUUUAACCUUGAAAUUGGGUGACUCUGGAAGAAUUUUGAGCAUGCCUCUUGUGUCAUAGUGAUACCCUCCAGAAAAUCCUUUGGUUGCAUCAGCUCUGAGGUACAGCAUCAACCAUGGGUACUUCUUAGAGGUUUUGAGCUUAUGGCCGAAGACCCAACUUCCAGCACCAACUUUUUUCUCCCAAACCACUUCAUAAAAAGAGAUUCCGCUAAGUCCACCACCAAUUUCAGCACCCAAAUCAUAAGUCCCAUUGAAACUUCCUCUCAAAGUAUCACCAUCUAUGAGCUUAGUUCGUUGAUGAUACAAUAUAGGUUGAUUCAUACACCCAUCUCCAAAGCAAGGAAACCUUCCUGGACUAAAAGGGGGUACCCUUUUCCCAUUCUGAGGACACAAACCAGACUUAGUAUCAUAGUUGCCAUUUUUAAGCAUCACCAUCCAAAACUGCCAUGGAUUUGGCUUAUCUUCAACUUCACACAAAGAACCCAGAUAAAUCUCCUUAUGCGCUGCAUAAAGAUCUGCAUUGCUUAAAGCUCCUGGGGACAAACCUGAGAAUGGUUUGCCUACCCCAAGUUUGUUAUCAGCUUCUGUUACUUUGUGCUUAAGUUUAGGACUCUUUAGUUCUGCUUGUUUUCUUCUAUGGCGGUUGUGCUUACUUGAGAGAUCAAAGCAAUCAGCAGCUCUUGGACUUCCCAUACCAGGAGCUUCUUGGCCAACCUCAUUGCAGAAAUUCCAAGCUUCAAAGGCCACUCUCAGUCCAUCUCUUCUCAUUCCUGGGUCUCCCACAGCAGAGCUGUACUGUUCCCCUCUUACACAAGAAACAGAUAAAAGAAUGACAUUUACCAAGAAAAGCAGCGAAUGCAAAAUGGUUUCCAUGGCCACUCCCAUGGUUGCUCUGCUUUAGAAACAGAGCUAAGAAAUGGCUGUUUAUAUAUAUGAGAGAGAGAGAGAGAGAGAGA
RNAcentral lists this unclassified non-coding RNA (2041 nucleotides) under Hevea brasiliensis (rubber tree). The record is from RNAcentral. Lineage: Eukaryota; Viridiplantae; Streptophyta; Magnoliopsida; Malpighiales; Euphorbiaceae.